RNAcentral lists this ribosomal RNA (425 nucleotides) under uncultured bacterium. RNAcentral describes it as "partial 16S ribosomal RNA". It matches the Rfam family "Bacterial small subunit ribosomal RNA", at positions 354 to 796 of the family's 1533-position model. The record is from RNAcentral.
GUGGGGAAUCUUGCGCAAUGGGCGAAAGCCUGACGCAGCCAUGCCGCGUGAAUGAUGAAGGUCUUAGGAUUGUAAAAUUCUUUCACCGGGGACGAUAAUGACGGUACCCGGAGAAGAAGCUCCGGCUAACUUCGUGCCAGCAGCCGCGGUAAUACGAAGGGGGCUAGCGUUGCUCGGAAUUACUGGGCGUAAAGGGCGCGUAGGCGGACAGCUUAGUCAGAGGUGAAAGCCCAGGGCUCAACCUUGGAAUUGCCUUUGAUACUGGCUGUCUUGAGUUUGGGAGAGGUGAGUGGAACUCCGAGUGUAGAGGUGAAAUUCGUAGAUAUUGGAAGGAACACCAGUGGCGUAAGCGGCUAUCUGGACGAGUAUUGACGCUGAGGCACGAAAGCGUGGGGAUCAAACAGGAUUAGAUACCCUGGUAGUCC